This 390-nucleotide ribosomal RNA is filed under the name uncultured bacterium. RNAcentral's name for it is "bacterial SSU rRNA". It matches the Rfam family "Bacterial small subunit ribosomal RNA", at positions 975 to 1368 of the family's 1533-position model. The record is from RNAcentral.
CUGGGUUUGACAUGGCCGCAAAACUGUCAGAGAUGGCAGGUCCUUCGGGGGCGGUCACAGGUGGUGCAUGGCUGUCGUCAGCUCGUGUCGUGAGAUGUUGGGUUAAGUCCCGCAACGAGCGCAACCCUCGUCCCAUGUUGCCAGCAUUUGGUUGGGGACUCAUGGGAGACUGCCGGGGUCAACUCGGAGGAAGGUGGGGAUGACGUCAAGUCAUCAUGCCCCUUAUGUCCAGGGCUUCACGCAUGCUACAAUGGCCGGUACAAACCGUUGCGAGCCCGUGAGGGGGAGCGAAUCGGAAAAAGCCGGUCUCAGUUCGGAUCGGGGUCUGCAACUCGACCCCGUGAAGUCGGAGUCGCUAGUAAUCGCAGAUCAGCAACGCUGCGGUGAAUA